UGUUGCAAUCCAAAGAAGCCAUGUGGGGUAGUGUGUCUGCAUCCAAUGUGCAGUCCCCUGGUAUAUCUAACUCAGGUGAGGUACCCCUCAACCAUCCUGCUUUAUCAGCACCAGCUGUACUACAAACCAAAGAAGGUAUGUGGGACAGUGUGUUUGCAUCAAAGUCACGCCAUCCAGUCUUUUCAGCCCCUGCUACACCACAAUCCAAAGCUAGUACUGUAGAUGGCAUCUCUUCCUCCAGUGCACAGUCCUCGGGGACAAAUUUCCCUGUAAAGGCACAUCAAAAUCCAGCACCCCCAGUGCAACAAGGUAAAAUUGGCAAGUGGGAUAGUGUGAUUGCAUCCCGUGCACAGUCUUCAAGAUUCAGUAACCCUGCGGAGUCUCUUAAAAAUCCAGAACCUCAAGGCAAAUCUGCAAAGUGGAAGAGUGUUCCUGCCUCAAAUGUGCAGUCCCCAAGAUUGUCUAACUUUGCAAAGCUACCCUUGACUCAUCCAGCCCCUACUGGGCUACAAACCAAAGCUGGCAUGCAGGAUGGUGUAUUUGCUUCCAAUGCUCAAUCCCCAAACGUUGGUCCUAGAAGUUUUAGACCUGAAGCUUCUGGUUCCUACCCUCUGAGGCAGCAGCCAAGGAUUAUGGGCAAACCUCAGCCAGUCUCUGGGUUUCCCCAGAGCAACAGGGGUGGUUUUGGUGAUGAAGCACAAGUGAAACGAUCUCCAAGGAGCCUUAAACCAGUUCCAGUAUCAUCCUCCCGUUCUAGUCAACAACUUGACUCUUCACCCAGACGUCAACCUUAAUAUUCCUAGUUGUUGCUAUCAUUUAUGGCUGUGAAUCUGACUUUCAAUAAAGUUCUUGUUGGAACUUUCA
Long non-coding RNA from Nematolebias whitei (Rio pearlfish), 864 nucleotides. RefSeq lists it as uncharacterized. NCBI's taxonomy places the organism in Eukaryota, Metazoa, Chordata, Actinopteri, Cyprinodontiformes, Rivulidae. The transcript is spliced from 2 exons. The record is from RefSeq and is a predicted model, not a curated record.